Long non-coding RNA from Humulus lupulus (European hop), 342 nucleotides. RefSeq lists it as uncharacterized. NCBI's taxonomy places the organism in Eukaryota, Viridiplantae, Streptophyta, Magnoliopsida, Rosales, Cannabaceae. The record is from RefSeq and is a predicted model, not a curated record. The transcript is spliced from 2 exons.
UCAAAAACAUAGAGAAAGAGAGGGAAAAAAAAGGUCAUUGGCUGGAGUAAAGAGAUUCCAAGAAGUUCUUAGUGAAAAUCAACCUGAAGAAGUGAAUUGAGCUCAGUUUUGGUCAGGAAAGUGAUGUGUAAUGGGACCAAUGAACUAAAGCCUAGUGCCAACUUUGGUUGUACAUAUGAAUAAAUAAAGGUUGUGUGGGAGUGGUUUAUGUUUGUGUAUUAACGACUUGUGGAAUUAGGUUUUUUUGUGUCUUAUGUACGAUGAAUAAAAUUAUGCAACUCAUGUAUUAAAUAUUAGAGACGCUUAAUAUGUAAAAUAAAUAAAGUUGAGAAACUGUUUUAU